GUGAGGGGGAUCUGGGUGUGACAUCUGUCACCCCAUUGAUGGCCAGGGUUGAUUCAGCUGAUCUGGCUGGCUAGCCGGGUGUCCCCUUCCUCCCUCCAUGUGUGUCCCUCCUGAAGCUGCAGGCUCAGUUGAAGAGGAUGGUCUCCCCAAAUAGAGACGGACCGGUCUUCGGUCGACGGUAUACGAGUAGCUGCGCUCCCCUGCGAGAACCUCCAAACAAGCUCUCAGGGAAGAUGUUCCAGAUAUCAGUCAAAUAGAAAGUUACAUUGUGAGAUCUCUUAAACUGUGAGAAAUCCAUUU
Unclassified non-coding RNA from Erinaceus europaeus (western European hedgehog), 300 nucleotides. Its record names the gene 7SK. It matches the Rfam family "7SK RNA". From Rfam's summary of the family: 7SK was discovered as an abundant small nuclear RNA in the mid-70s but a possible function has only recently been suggested. Two independent studies have found that 7SK RNA binds the CDK9/cyclin T complex (known as elongation factor P-TEFb). NCBI's taxonomy places the organism in Eukaryota, Metazoa, Chordata, Mammalia, Eulipotyphla, Erinaceidae. The record is from Ensembl.